This 95-nucleotide microRNA precursor is filed under the name Macaca nemestrina (pig-tailed macaque). RNAcentral describes it as "miRNA (ENSMNEG00000023264.1)". The record is from RNAcentral. Lineage: Eukaryota; Metazoa; Chordata; Mammalia; Primates; Cercopithecidae.
UGAGGCAGGAGAAUUGCUUGAACCCAGGAGGUGGAGGCUGCAGUGAGCCGAGAUCGGACCACUGCACUCCAGCCUGGGCGACACAGCGAGACUCC